UCAGUUCAGAUUGUAGGCUGAAACUCGCCUAUAUGAAGUCGGAAUUGCUAGUAAUCGCGGAUCAGCAUGCCGCGGUGAAUACGUUCCCGGGCCUUGUACACACCGCCCGUCACACCAUGAGAGUCGAUAACACCCGAAGCCUGUAGUCUAACAGCAAUGAGGACGCAGUCGAAGGUGGGAUUGAUAAUUAGGGUGAAGUCGUAACAAGGUAGC
RNAcentral lists this ribosomal RNA (213 nucleotides) under uncultured bacterium. Its description in RNAcentral is "partial 16S ribosomal RNA". It matches the Rfam family "Bacterial small subunit ribosomal RNA", at positions 1288 to 1500 of the family's 1533-position model. The record is from RNAcentral.